UACAUGGGGUGCAAACGUUGCUCGGAAUUAUUGGGCGUAAAGCGCACGUAGGUGGUCUGUUAUGUCAGAUGUGAAAGCCCUCGGCUUAACUGAGGAAGUGCACCUGAAACUGGCAGGCUUGAGUACGAAAGAGGGUCGCGGAAUUCCCGGUGUAGAGGUGAAAUUCGUAGAUAUCGGGAGGAACACCGGUGGCGAAGGCGGCUUCCUGGACCGAUACUGACGCUGAGGCGCGAAAGCUAGGGGAGCAAACGGG
RNAcentral lists this ribosomal RNA (253 nucleotides) under uncultured bacterium. Its description in RNAcentral is "partial 16S ribosomal RNA". It matches the Rfam family "Bacterial small subunit ribosomal RNA", at positions 524 to 776 of the family's 1533-position model. The record is from RNAcentral.